UAGUCUCGCACAGAUGCAUAUCAAUAAGCGGAGGAAAAGAAACUAACAAGGAUUCCCCUAGUAACGGCGAGUGGAGCGGGAAGAGCUCAAAUUUGAAAUCUUAAAGGGUUUCCCUUUACGAAUUGUAGUUUAAAGAAGUGUUUUCUGUUGAGGUUUUGGUAAAAGUUCUUUGGAAUAGGACAUCAUAGAGGGUGAGAAUCCCGUAUUUGACCUUUACUUUCAACUUUGUGAUACACUUUCAAAGAGUCGGAUUGUUUGGGAAUGCAGUCCAAAAUGGGUGGUAAAUUUCAUCUAAAGCUAAAUAUUGGCGAGAGACCGAUAGCGAACAAGUACCGUGAGGGAAAGAUGAAAAGAACUUUGAAAAGAGAGUUAAACAGUACGUGAAAUUGUCAAAAGGGAAGCGUUUGACACCAGUGUUGUUUUUCUGAAAAUCAAUUAAAGAACUGUUUAUGCUAAGCUGUUUAGACUUUAUCAGCUAACUGUUUAGUUUUGAGCUUUUCUUUAAUGCACUUUUCAGUUAACAAGUCAACAUCAAUUUCUUUUGCUGUAAAAAAGCUUGAGGAAGGUGGCUUGAGAUUCGUCUUAAGUGUUUAUAGCCUCUUGCCUAUGCAGUCGGAGAGAUUGAGGUCUGCAGCGUAGAUCCUUCGGGGCUAAAUGCAUUUGUGCUAAGUUAUAGCAUUUUAUAGGCAACUUGUUGACUAUGAUUUGUCUUGUAGCUUACUCGCUUAUGUUAUUUUACCUACGCUUAGGAUGUUGAGUAGCGACAUACGCAC
This 773-nucleotide ribosomal RNA is filed under the name uncultured Neocallimastigales. RNAcentral's name for it is "partial large subunit ribosomal RNA". It matches the Rfam family "Eukaryotic large subunit ribosomal RNA", at positions 24 to 649 of the family's 3401-position model. The record is from RNAcentral. Lineage: Eukaryota; Fungi; Neocallimastigomycota; Neocallimastigomycetes; Neocallimastigales.